Non-coding RNA from Tetranychus urticae (two-spotted spider mite), 938 nucleotides. NCBI's taxonomy places the organism in Eukaryota, Metazoa, Arthropoda, Arachnida, Trombidiformes, Tetranychidae. The record is from RefSeq and is a predicted model, not a curated record.
AAAAGCAAGCAUCUUCUGACUGUUGAAGCCUUGGUUGGCUUUUGGAUCCUCGUUGUGGUCUUGCAUGUGGUUUUAAAUGUGACCUUAAAUGUAACCUUAAAUGUGAACUUAAACUAUCUUCUCUGUUACUCUGUUACCCGUGAUUUUGGUCUGACAUAGGAAAAGCGAACCCAACGGAGGAUUGCUGAUGAAAUUUAUUCCGAAGGAGGAAAAGCAAAUGUUGACUUUAUUAUGGCCACCAAGUUAAUUUGACAAGAGACUUCACUGAGCCCACCGAGGUUAACAAGAUGGACUUCUUAACCAGCUGUCAACCAAUUUAAUAUAAAUGGAUCUUACUUGGGACUAUUUUUGGAUGGACAAAAACUGGACAAAAGAAAAUCAAAGGAUUGAUCUGAAAAGUUAACUAAACAACAGGGAAAUGCAACAAGCAGUGAGAAAAUACAUAAACAUGAAGUGGACUUCUGAGUAUCUCAGUAGAUGGCUAGAUUGAAUGUUAUAUUUCAAUUAUUAUUACAAAUGUUGGUUGAAGAAACGCAAAAUGGUAUAAAAAAGUGCGAUAAAAAUGAAACCUCUUAAAAGAGUCACGGUUAUGGCCUGAAGAAGCUGUUAAAAAUAUUGUUGAUACAGAUGAAGGUGGUAAAAGCAGAUGGAAUCAAACUCCGGAAGUUUCUAGGUGAGAGAAUCGACAUUUCCCAUUUACCGCUGUUUUUAUCCGAUGAUUGGCAGAAUAAUUGUAAUUUCUGGCAUUUCUAUCAGAGACACGUCCAAUCUGAAGACCAAUAUAAACCUAGAUCAAUUGAAUCAUCUAUUGACACAACUUUUAAAAUUCAACCGAAUGGUGACUUAGUGAAUGGAUAAAUAAAGGAAUUAAUAAUUCAUAAAGAACCCAAUGUACUGUAUGUAUUAUAAAGAGUAAUUAAUACAAUUAAAUAUGAUUU